Molecule: RNA transcript, 2415 nt
Organism: Nicotiana attenuata
Lineage: Eukaryota; Viridiplantae; Streptophyta; Magnoliopsida; Solanales; Solanaceae
Gene name: acidic leucine-rich nuclear phosphoprotein 32-related protein
Exons: 3
Source: RefSeq, a predicted model, not a curated record
GCCUCCCCUAAUAUAUCAAGCGAUAGAGUGAAGAGUUUUUAGAGAGAGAAACUAGAGAGAGAAAGAAAAAGAAGAAAAAUUAGGUUUUCUAUAUGUAUUCUCCUUUGCCGUAGAAGAUACCGGAAAAGUUUGUGGAAUUUAACUUCUAGUCCGGAAUUUUAUCUAUAUUCCAAUUUAGUCCCAUAGUUCUUAGAAAAUUCGUAUCAUAUGAGUUCUGGCUCUGAUUAAUGGACGAGAUUUGGGAGAGAGCGGUGGAGACGGCGUUAGACGGCGAGAGAAAUUUCGGUUCUGUGCGAACCCUAACGUUAGACGGAGCCGUUAAGUGUAUUCAUGGUAAGUUACCUCCUCCAUCGAUUUUUGAGAAGUUUCAGAAUCUCGAGCACCUUUCGAUUGCAAACAUCGGUGUUUCGUCGCUAGAACAGUUUCCUCGGCUACAGAAUCUGCAGAAGUUAAUUUUAUCGGACAAUAGAAUCGCCGGAGGCCUCGAGUUCCUCGUAGAUGCUGGUUUAAAUUCACUCCGGGACCUCGAUUUGUCGAAUAAUCGGAUUCAGGAUAUCGACGAUCUCCGGCCGUUGGCUGAACUCCGGCUUGUGUCGCUUGAUCUCUAUGAGUGUCCGGUUACGCGAGUUAAGGACUACCGAUCUAGGGUUUUUGGAUUGAUUAGGUCGUUGAAGUAUUUGGAUAAGAUGGAUGCGGAGGGGAACGAGAGGCCGGAGUCGGAUGAUGAGGAGGAAGAUGAAGAGGAGGAUGAAGAGGAUGAUCCGGGGAGUGGGGAAGUUGAUGGAGAAGAUCGGCCUUACAGGAUGAAUAAUGGACACAGGGUUGGGAGUGAAGGAGUUGUAGAUGUCGAUGAGGACGAGAGUGAUGCUGAUGAGGAAGAAAUGGAGAUAACUCGAGGGAUUAAUGGGUCGAAACAUGACGGUUCGAGUUCGUCUCACCACUCAAAUGGUUUUCGAGUAGAGGCGGUUGGGGAUGGAGACGACGAGGAGGAUGAUGAGGAUGAUGAAGAUGAGGAUUUUGUGGAGGAGAUAGAUGAAGAGGGUGAUGAGGAGGAUGUAGUGGAGGUUCAUGAAAUAGAAGACAGUGAUGAAGAGGAGGAUGGUGUGGAAGAUGACGAGGACGAUGAUGAUGACGACGACGACGAUGAAGAGGAUGAGGAGGAAGUUGAUAAUGAUGAUGGGGAUUUUGCGGAGCCAGAGAGCACGGGGAGGUUAAAUAGCACUGAAGGGGAGAUUGAUGGGCAUGAGCAGGGGGAAGAUGAUGCAGAUGAGGAUGAUGAUGGGGAGACAGGGGAGGAGCAGGGUGUUGAGGAAGAUGGUGAUUUCGAUGAUGAAGAGGAGGCUGAAGAUGAGGAGGAAGAUAAUGGCAAUGGCUACCUUGUUCAACCAGUUGGUCCUAUUGAAGUAGAUGAUGCUGAAGGCAGUGAUAUGGAGCCAGUAAAUGGUGAUGAAGAUCCUGAGUUGGAGGAAGAAGUUGAAGAUGAAGAGGACGACUAUGGUGAAGUUCAAGAGGUGCCACCUUCCUCCUCUCAAAAGAGGAAGCGGGAUGAUGACGAUGAUGAUGGUGGUGAAGAAGAUGACGAUGAAGAGUAUGCAAAGUCAUCCAAGCACCGUUAGUGACUUUAUCUGUGGUGGGUUUGACGAAAGUGAUGAACUUGAGGAAUAGAUUUGUCUGGAGGCUGGAAGUAGUUGACUGUUGAACAUCUUUUCAUGGACAGGACACAUGUUUUGGUGGGAAAUUCAGGUCUUAGAGGUGGUGCCAGAUGGCAGCUGUUUGUGUGUCAAUUGAUUGCACCUAUUCGCUGAUCUUCCAACCAUGUGACCGAGCGAUGAUAUUGUACCAACCGGUCGAGAAUUUCGUUAAAUAAAGAAAAAACAAAGAGAAAAAAAGCAAUGGUCCCAUACGCAAAAAAAGGGAUAAAAGAAAACAACGCGCUUAUAUUCUGUUGUAACAUUUUAUACCACCAGCCAGCCCAUCAGUUUGGUGCCAUCUCGGGUAUCUUCAAAGCAGAUUUUUGGCCCUUGUAAAAGUAAUUUUGGGCUUGGAAGCCCAAAACUGUGGGUGUCAAAUGAUGGAUAUGCGCCUUGAAUAGAUUGAGCUGCUACGUUAGAAGGUGAUUAAGGGUAGAGCAGGCCAAUGACUGUACUGAGUUUGGGCCGGCUUAAGUAUAGCAGGAUUCGGCCUGCCUUGGGUUUUCCAUCAAAACUUUGGUCCAAGCUGUCAAUGCGCGUAAACUUCACAAGCUGGUUGCGACAAAAUGGGAUUCGUCUUGUUUGUUUAUUGGUACUUGCAAGGCAAAUUACGUUACAAAGAGAUGCAGCGUGUGUGCGCUUGGAUUUGUAUUUAAUUUCUUGAACUUCGAUUAUUGUAUUCAAAUCAAUGGUAAUACAUCCAUCCUUAUUUCUUCCUUCCUCA